UUCGCAAUGCCCGAAAGGGUGACGAAGCGACGCCGCGUGUGGGAAGAAGGCCUUCGGGUUGUAAACCACUGUCGGGAGUUAAGAAAUGCAAGGAUAUGAAUAGUGUCUUUGCUUGACUAAGGCUCCGGAGGAAGCCACGGCUAACUCUGUGCCAGCAGCCGCGGUAAUACAGAGGCGGCAAGCGUUGUUCGGAAUUAUUGGGCGUAAAGAGCACGUAGGCGGCUAUGUAAGUCGGUUGUGAAAGCCUUCCGCUCAACGGGAGAACAGCAUCCGAUACUACAUGGCUUGAGUGCGGGAGGGGAGAGUGGAACUUCUGGUGGAGCGGUGAAAUGCGUAGAUAUCAGAAGGAACGCCGGCGGCGAAAGCGGCUCUCUGGCCCAUAACUGACGCUGAGUGUGCGAAAGCUAGGGGAGCAAACGGGAUUAGAUGCCCCGGUAGUCCUAGCCGUAAACGAUGGGCACUAAGUAGAGGGGUUUU
This 477-nucleotide ribosomal RNA is filed under the name uncultured bacterium. RNAcentral describes it as "bacterial SSU rRNA". It matches the Rfam family "Bacterial small subunit ribosomal RNA", at positions 365 to 832 of the family's 1533-position model. The record is from RNAcentral.